GAUGAACGCUGGCGGCGUGCUUAACACACGCAAGUCGAACGGGAAAUAUUUCAUUGAGACUUCGGUGGAUUUGAUUUAUUUCUAGUGGCGGACGGGUGAGUAACGCGUGGGUAACCUGCCUUAUACAGGGGGAUAACAGUCAGAAAUGGCUGCUAAUACCGCAUAAGCGCACAGAGCUGCAUGGCUCAGUGUGAAAAACUCCGGUGGUAUAAGAUGGACCCGCGUUGGAUUAGCUAGUUGGUGGGGUAACGGCCCACCAAGGCGACGAUCCAUAGCCGGCCUGAGAGGGUGAACGGCCACAUUGGGACUGAGACACGGCCCAGACUCCUACGGGAGGCAGCAGUGGGGAAUAUUGCACAAUGGGGGAAACCCUGAUGCAGCGACGCCGCGUGAAGGAAGAAGUAUCUCGGUAUGUAAACUUCUAUCAGCAGGGAAGAUAGUGACGGUACCUGACUAAGAAGCCCCGGCUAACUACGUG
This 478-nucleotide ribosomal RNA is filed under the name uncultured bacterium. RNAcentral's name for it is "partial 16S ribosomal RNA". It matches the Rfam family "Bacterial small subunit ribosomal RNA", at positions 28 to 507 of the family's 1533-position model. The record is from RNAcentral.